UACGGAGGGGGCAAGCGUUAUUCGGAAUCAUUGGGCGUAAAGGGCGCGUAGGCGGCCAAGCAAGUCAGGGGUGAAAUCCCUCGGCUCAACCGAGGAAUUGCCUUUGAAACUGCCUGGCUCGAGGCCGGGAGAGGGUAGUGGAAUUCCCAGUGUAGCGGUGAAAUGCGUAGAUAUUGGGAGGAACACCAGUGGCGAAGGCGGCUACCUGGACCGGUUCUGACGCUGAGGCGCGAAAGCGUGGGGAGCAAACAGG
This 253-nucleotide ribosomal RNA is filed under the name uncultured bacterium. RNAcentral's name for it is "partial 16S ribosomal RNA". It matches the Rfam family "Bacterial small subunit ribosomal RNA", at positions 524 to 776 of the family's 1533-position model. The record is from RNAcentral.